UAGCUCAGUUGGUAAAGAAUCUGCCUGCAAUGCAGGAGACCCAGGUUCAAUCCCUGG
Molecule: non-coding RNA, 57 nt
Organism: Bos taurus (domestic cattle)
Lineage: Eukaryota; Metazoa; Chordata; Mammalia; Artiodactyla; Bovidae
Source: Rfam